This 465-nucleotide ribosomal RNA is filed under the name Vreelandella stevensii. RNAcentral describes it as "partial 16S ribosomal RNA". It matches the Rfam family "Bacterial small subunit ribosomal RNA", at positions 338 to 795 of the family's 1533-position model. Lineage: Bacteria; Pseudomonadati; Pseudomonadota; Gammaproteobacteria; Oceanospirillales; Halomonadaceae. The record is from RNAcentral.
CCUACGGGUGGCAGCAGUGGGGAAUAUUGGACAAUGGGGGGAACCCUGAUCCAGCCAUGCCGCGUGUGUGAAGAAGGCCCUCGGGUUGUAAAGCACUUUCAGUGAGGAAGAACGCCUGGUGGUUAAUACCCAUUAGGAAAGACAUCACUCACAGAAGAAGCACCGGCUAACUCCGUGCCAGCAGCCGCGGUAAUACGGAGGGUGCGAGCGUUAAUCGGAAUUACUGGGCGUAAAGCGCGCGUAGGUGGCUUGAUAAGCCGGUUGUGAAAGCCCCGGGCUCAACCUGGGAACGGCAUCCGGAACUGUCAAGCUAGAGUGCAGGAGAGGAAGGUAGAAUUCCCGGUGUAGCGGUGAAAUGCGUAGAGAUCGGGAGGAAUACCAGUGGCGAAGGCGGCCUUCUGGACUGACACUGACACUGAGGUGCGAAAGCGUGGGUAGCAAACAGGAUUAGAUACCCUGGUAGUC